This is a non-coding RNA of Cyanistes caeruleus (blue tit), 866 nucleotides long. NCBI's taxonomy places the organism in Eukaryota, Metazoa, Chordata, Aves, Passeriformes, Paridae. The record is from RefSeq and is a predicted model, not a curated record.
GCAACCUGGUCUAGUGGAAGGUGUCCCUGCUUGCAAAGGGAAAAACUGCUGCCUGAAGGUACCAUGAUGGCCCCGGCCACGGCGCAUCACCACACACCGCACCGGGAUGGCCCCGGCAGCAGCGCCUCACCACCCCUGGUAAAAACUGUGUGGGCGCUGCUUUGACUUUCUUCUUCAAUGUGUCAUCACAAAAGAGUUACCAGCCUCUCUGAUUGGGCCAGCAGCAUGUCCAUCUUCAGAGCCAUCAGUGAUUGGCUUCCAGCAGCUUCUCACAGGAGCCGCUGUCUGUGGCACUCCUUGGCUACCAAAAAACCCAGCUGUGCCAAAUCAACACAAAGCAGCUGUUUGCUGUCCUUCCCUUGGGCUGUGUGAGCCUGCAGUAGAAUGACAGAAAUGGGAAUUCUUGGCUUAGUUGUGCUUCCUCAGGCCCAGGGCAGGUUUUGGCAAUGAUCCCAGAACUCUUCCCUGAAAGGGAGUUGUUUCUGAGAAGCACCCAGAUGCUUCACCAGCACUGCCAGCACCGCCAAUAAAACAUGGUUUAGCUGGAAAAACCUGGGUUAACCAUUAAAGAUAGACAAUAUAUUCUGGUAAUAUUAAAAGAACAAAACAUUUAUACCAUGAUGUAAUAAAUUGGAAGCACUUUUGGGAGUAUAUAUAAAAAAGUACCAAAACACCUAUGCCAAGAUGUAAUAAAUUGGGAGCAUUUUUGGGAGUAUCUAUAAAAAAUCUUGGAUAUUAUUGUGUAUAAAAUAAUACACAAUAUUAUUAUUAAUAGUGCUGAAUUAAUUGUAUUAUUAUUAUUGUGCCUGAAAAUUGUUGUUCCUUUGAACAUGUCUAUGGCAAAUAAAUUUCCAAUUUGUUCAAAA